Molecule: long non-coding RNA, 1075 nt
Filed under: Marmota monax (woodchuck)
Lineage: Eukaryota; Metazoa; Chordata; Mammalia; Rodentia; Sciuridae
Source: RNAcentral
GUUUAAUACACUGGAUUUUUGUUAUAUUAUAGUUCCCUUAUUUAAUGCAAUGUUUACCUAAAAUUAUUUAAAUAGUAAUUAAAAACUUCAGUAUGUGCCUAAAAACUUUCCAUGAAACAAUCAUUUUCUUUAGCCAGGUGUGUAAUCCUAUAAAAGUGUGAAGGCCUGUAGUCCCAGGAGCUCAGGUGGCUGAAGCAGGAGGAUCACAAAUUCAAAGCCAGCCUCAGCAAUUACCAAGGUACUAAAUAAUUUAAUGAGAUCCUCACUCAAAAUUUAAAAAUUUUUAAAAGGGUGUGACUCAAUGGAAAAGCACCUCUGGGUUCAAUUCCCCAGUACCAAAAAUAAAAUAAUAAAAUAAAAUAUUCUCUCCAUUUUUUCUAUCUUUUAAUUUUUAAAUAUAUAAAGCAUUUAAUACUCUAUCUUCAACACUUACAUGUAUUUUGGUCUCACCUUGUAGUUUACUUGCACUGGUUCUUCUUCAGGGUAGUUCAUUUCAUCAUGUGUUUUGAUUUUAUUGUUGUGAGUUCAUGUUUCCUAGACAUCAGUCUGUCAGUGUUAGGGAACAGACAGAUGAUGAUGGUGGAAAGCUAUCAGCCUGGAGAAGAGAACAUAAACUACAUCAGUACUUAGAACCAAGUAAAAUUUUUGUUUGGCCAGGUGCCUCCCAACUAAAGACUCCUUACAAAACCUAGUUUAUGGAUCUAAGGUCACACCUUGAAAAUAUAGUUGGCAUUCUUAAAAAGCUGGUCUCAAUUUACUAUUCAAAAAUUCACUGGAGAUAUUUUUGAUUUUUAUUUUGUCCUUGAUUCUCAAUGGAGGCAAAGGCAAGAACAGAACCAUCCCCACAAAUACUCUGUAGGAGAAGUUAUUUUUCUACAUCGCUUUCAGGGAUCUUGCCUUUUAGAGGUCCUAGUUUUAAGAAGAGGUCCCAGCCUUCUGGUUCAAGCCCAAAUUAUGAAUUAAAACAUGGUCCACUUAAUUUUAUAUUUUCUUAACAGUUAUUAUAUGUAUUUAUGGGGUUAAAUGUAAUUCUUUGAUAUGUAUACAUUUGGGAUGAAUAAAUCAAGUUAACUAU